CUCAGUGAGCUGGAUCAGAGCC
This 22-nucleotide microRNA is filed under the name Oreochromis niloticus (Nile tilapia). Its description in RNAcentral is "oni-miR-10889". Lineage: Eukaryota; Metazoa; Chordata; Actinopteri; Cichliformes; Cichlidae. The record is from miRBase by way of RNAcentral.